Molecule: ribosomal RNA, 497 nt
Filed under: uncultured bacterium
Lineage: Bacteria
Description: partial 16S ribosomal RNA
Rfam family: Bacterial small subunit ribosomal RNA
Source: RNAcentral
GAUGAACGCUGGCGGCGUGCCUAAUACAUGCAAGUCGAGCGAACAGACGAGGAGCUUGCUCCUCUGACGUUAGCGGCGGACGGGUGAGUAACACGUGGAUAACCUACCUAUAAGACUGGGGUAACUUCGGGAAACCGGAGCUAAUACCGGAUAAUAUUUUGAACCGCAUGGUUCAAUAGUGAAAGACGGUUUUGCUGUCACUUAUAGAUGUAUCCGCGCCGCAUUAGCUAGUUGGUAAGGUAACGGCUUACCAAGGCAACGAUGCGUAGCCGACCUGAGAGGGUGAUCGGCCACACUGGAACUGAGACACGGUCCAGACUCCUACGGGAGGCAGCAGGAGGGAAUCUUCCGCAAUGGGCGAAAGCCUGACGGAGCAACGCCGCGUGAGUGAUGAAGGUCUUCGGAUCGUAAAACUCUGUUAUUAGGGAAGAACAAAUGUGUAAGUAACUAUGCACGUCUUGACGGUACCUAAUCAGAAAGCCACGGCUAACUACGUG